RNAcentral lists this long non-coding RNA (212 nucleotides) under Capsicum annuum. RNAcentral describes it as "long non-coding RNA (CANN_LNC002717)". The record is from RNAcentral. Lineage: Eukaryota; Viridiplantae; Streptophyta; Magnoliopsida; Solanales; Solanaceae.
ACACACCUCACAAAUAAGAGUUCAAACCUUCCUCUUAGGUGACCCAAAGGACUCACACUUCCUCAAGUACACCUUUCUUGCCAAAUCAUCCAAGACAAGUGAAAACCCUAACUUUCAAAUGUUCAUGGACCAAGUUUUGGUUCUAAGAGCUACAACUACAAGACUAAAGCUACAAAAUAUGAGUAAUACUCAAUUUCGAUUCAUCAAAGUCU